GAGGGUAUAGCUCAGUGGUAGAGUGUGUGCUUAGCAUGCACAAGAUCCUGAGUUCAAUCCCCUGUACCUCCA
RNAcentral lists this transfer RNA (72 nucleotides) under Camelus bactrianus (Bactrian camel). It matches the Rfam family "tRNA". Rfam says of the family: Transfer RNA (tRNA) molecules are approximately 80 nucleotides in length. Their secondary structure includes four short double-helical elements and three loops (D, anti-codon, and T loops). Further hydrogen bonds mediate the characteristic L-shaped molecular structure. tRNAs have two regions of fundamental functional importance: the anti-codon, which is responsible for specific mRNA codon recognition, and the 3' end, to which the tRNAs corresponding amino acid is attached (by aminoacyl-tRNA synthetases). tRNAs cope with the degeneracy of the genetic code in two manners: having more than one tRNA (with a specific anti-codon) for a particular amino acid; and 'wobble' base-pairing, i.e. permitting non-standard base-pairing at the 3rd anti-codon position. The record is from Rfam by way of RNAcentral. RNAcentral also lists the same sequence under 2 other names. Lineage: Eukaryota; Metazoa; Chordata; Mammalia; Artiodactyla; Camelidae.